RNAcentral lists this long non-coding RNA (873 nucleotides) under Bos taurus (domestic cattle). RNAcentral's name for it is "long non-coding RNA NONBTAT029802". The record is from RNAcentral. Lineage: Eukaryota; Metazoa; Chordata; Mammalia; Artiodactyla; Bovidae.
GUGGAACCCAGGGCCCUGGCAGUGAAAGCGCCAAGUCUUAACUACUGAACCACCAGGGAAUUCCUUGUAGGUAUUAGUUCAUUAAAUUUAUGUGAAGUUACUGGAUCUUAGUUGAAAGAUGUCACAUUCUUUGUGGCUCACACAGCCUCCUAAUACCAAGGAUUGAGGCUAAUCCAGGAGCAUUCUUCCAGGCCCCUUGAGUGCUAGUUUUUAUUGAGUAAUUUCGUGUGUUGGGAUCAUGGACUCAGUACUUUCUCCACUUAUUAUCCUUUAAUCCUGAGACUUUCUUACCUAACCCUUUUUUCUUAACCCUAUGACUUUCUGAGAUCAUCGCCAUUUAUCAUGCUCACAGAGACUUAAUUCUCCCAAGGAUACUCAGCUAGGAAGUGCCUGUGCAAUUAUUUAGAAAGCCAAAUGAGAUGGCACCAGCUCACCAUCAACAGACAGAGAAAGUGAUUCAAGUUAAACCAGAUCAUUCCCUCUUCCUGGAGCCCUUUCCACCUCUGCGCCUCUGAAGCUAUGGGUCACCCCUCACGGCCACCCCCGCCCCAUCCCACUCUGAGGGCCCUCUCCCUUCCAAGCCUUGCCUGUGGUACAUGGCUUAGAUUAAAAUGCUCCACCCCUUCCCCCACCCCCAGGAAGCCCUCCCUGAUUCUCAUCAUUGGCAAACAGCAUUUGGCACAUCCUCGCCCUACAGCUUUUUGCAGAUUGACUAGGAGCGCCCACCAAGUAGUGUGAACAUGCUCAGUUGGGUCUGACUCUUCAACUCCAUGGAACAUGUAGCCUGCCAGACUCCUCUGUCCAUGUGAUUAUCCAGGCGAGAAUACUGGAAAAGUUAGUCACACAGUCGUGUCCAACUCUUUGGGAUUCCAG